GGGGUCGUAGCUCAAUCGGUAGAGCAGCCGGCUUUUAACCGGACGGUCGUGGGUUCGAAUCCCUCCGACCCCA
RNAcentral lists this transfer RNA (73 nucleotides) under Myxococcales bacterium. RNAcentral describes it as "tRNA-Lys". It matches the Rfam family "tRNA". Rfam says of the family: Transfer RNA (tRNA) molecules are approximately 80 nucleotides in length. Their secondary structure includes four short double-helical elements and three loops (D, anti-codon, and T loops). Lineage: Bacteria; Pseudomonadati; Myxococcota; Myxococcia; Myxococcales. The record is from RNAcentral.